RNAcentral lists this ribosomal RNA (407 nucleotides) under uncultured bacterium. RNAcentral describes it as "bacterial SSU rRNA". It matches the Rfam family "Bacterial small subunit ribosomal RNA", at positions 355 to 776 of the family's 1533-position model. The record is from RNAcentral.
UGAGGAAUAUUGCGCAAUGGGCGAAAGCCUGACGCAGCGACGCCGCGUGGAGGAUGAAGGUCUUCGGAUUGUAAACUCCUUUUUGAGGGGACGAAAAAAAUGACGGUACCCUUAGAAUAAGCCACGGCUAACUACGUGCCAGCAGCCGCGGUAAUACGUAGGGUGCGAGCGUUAAUCGGAAUUACUGGGCGUAAAGCGUGCGCAGGCGGUUUUGUAAGUCAGAUGUGAAAUCCCCGGGCUCAACCUGGGAACUGCAUUUGAGACUGCAAGGCUAGAGUGUGGCAGAGGGGGGUGGAAUUCCACGUGUAGCAGUGAAAUGCGUAGAGAUGUGGAGGAACACCGAUGGCGAAGGCAGCCCCCUGGGCCAAUACUGACGCUCAUGCACGAAAGCGUGGGGAGCAAACAGG